This 385-nucleotide long non-coding RNA is filed under the name Cryptosporidium parvum. The record is from RNAcentral. Lineage: Eukaryota; Apicomplexa; Conoidasida; Eucoccidiorida; Cryptosporidiidae.
UUGUUUUAUAGAACAAGACUUUUGACCUCUUGAUCAUCUCAAUAAAUCAUUUAGGUUUUAAGACUGUGCACGCCAAGCAUUAUUAUUAAGUUUCUGAAUUCUGCUCAAUAGAUUUCAUAACUUGACAUUAAUUUGAUGGCAAACCAGUAAUUAAACGACUUUCUAUAAAUUUGGCAACUUUUUAUUUAAUUAUUUUAUGGUGUUAUACUUGCUUAUUUUUAGAAUUGAAUCAUUAACUAGAUUCCAUUUUCAUUUAAUAUAUAAAGCAAUGAAUAUUGCUACUGUUAAGCUGAAUUAAUUAUUUACUUACCAAUCUAAACAUCAUAUUUUCUGGUAUAGCUAUUAAUAAUUUCUGUAUUUGAAUUUAACAAGAAAAGAACUUGGG